Molecule: ribosomal RNA, 336 nt
Filed under: Ixodes sp. MI13-006
Lineage: Eukaryota; Metazoa; Arthropoda; Arachnida; Ixodida; Ixodidae
Description: partial 12S ribosomal RNA
Source: RNAcentral
GUGGUAGUAAUAAAAUUUAUGAAAUCAUAAAAUUUUGGCGGUAUUUUAAGCUUGUUAGAGGAAUUUGCUCUAUAAUGGAUAAAACGCCUCAAUCUUACUUAAUUUAGUUUAAAAGUCAGUUUGUAUACCACUAUAUUUAAUUAUAUUGAAUAGUAAUAUUUAAGAAUUUUAAAUAAAAAGUAUAUUAAGUCAUGGUGCAACUAAUAAUUAUGAAUGAAGUGAAUUACAUUGUUUAUAAAAAUAUUUAUAUAAAUGAAAAAAUUUUAUAGGAUUUAAUAGUAAAAUAUUAAUAUAAUGAAUAUUUGAAUAAAGCUCUAAAAUAUGUACACAUCGCCC